ACAUACUUGGCUUACAAUCGCCACUUCACACAAUACAUGAAUAAAGCAUUACAACAUCCAGAUACAAUCAAGGUCCGACUACGGAACCAAAAUAAAAUAAGACUACCCCUGAUGCUAAAGAUCCCCGAUCGUCCCAACUGGGCUCCACUACUGAUCAACUGAAACGAAACAACAUAAUGAACAAGAUCUUCAUCGAGCUCCUCCUUGAGCUCAGUUGCGUCACCUGCAAGGUAUCAUCGGCACCUGCAAACUGGUUUUGGAAGUAUCUGUGAGUCACAGGGACUCAGCAAUCUCACACCCUCGCGAUUAAGACUAUUUAAGCUUAUGGGUAGGUAAAAGGUAUGUGAGGUGGAGCUGCAGCAAGCACUAGCAUAUAUGGUGGCUAACAUACGCAAAUGAGAGCGAGAAGAGAAGGCAAAGCACGGUCGAGAAUCUAUGAUCAAGAAGUGAUCCUAGACUACUUACGUUCAAUCAUAACUCUAACACCGUGUUCACUUCCAGGUCUCCGCCGGAAAGAGACCAUCACGGCUACACACACGGUCGAUGCAUUUUAAUUAAGUUAAGUGUCAAGUUCUCUACAACCGGACAUUAACAAAUUCUCAUCUGCCCAUAACCACGGGCACGGCUUUCGAAAGUUCAUAACCCUGCAAGGGUGUCCCAACUUAGCCCAUCACAAUCUCUCACAGUCAACGAAGGAUAUUCCUUCUCCCAGGAAGACCCGAUCAGACUCGGAAUCCCGGUUACAAGACAUUUCGAAAAUAGUAAAACAAGACCAGCAAAGCCACCCAGAUGUGCCGACAAAUCCUGAUAGGAGCUGCACAUGUCUCGUUCUCAGGGCACAUCGGAUUAGCAAGAUGUCGGGUUGGCAUAAACCCUGGUUGCCCAGGGGGCGCCGGACAUCGCUUAGGUUGGACCAACACUUAGAGAAGCACUGGCCCGGGGGGUUUAAAUAAAGAUGACCCUUGAGUCUGUAGAACCCAAGGGAAAAAGGCUAGGUGGCAAAUGGUAAAACCAAGGUUGGGCCUUGCUGGAGGAGUUUUAUUCAAGGCAAACUAUCAAGGGGUUCCCAUUAUGACCCAACCGCGUAAGGAUCGCAAAAUCAAGGAACAUAACACCGGUAUGACGGAAACUAGGGCGACAAGAGUGGAACAAAACACCAGGCAUAAGGUCGAGCCUUCCACCCUUUACCAAGUAUAUAAAUGCAUUAGUAUAAAUAAGAGAUAUUGUGAUAUCCCAACAAAUAUCCAUGCUCCAACAAGGAACAAACUCCAAUCUUCACCUGCAACUAGCAAUGCUAUAAGAGGGGCUGAGCAAAGCGGUAACAUAGCCAAACAACGGUUUGGUAGGACAAGGUGGGUUAGAGGUUUGACAUAGCAAAAUGGGAGGCAUGAUAUAGCAAGUGGUAGGUAUCGUGGCAUAGGCAUAGCAAUAGAGCGAGAAACUAGCAAGCAAAGAUAGAAGUGAUUUCGAGGGUAUGGUCAUCUUGCCUGAAAUCCCGCAAGGAAGAAGAACAAGUCCAUGAAGAAGUCAAACAGACGAAGUCGAACGGAUCCUCAGAAACACGACAUUAUCGGAACUAACCCGAAGAGGCAAC
Molecule: long non-coding RNA, 1594 nt
Filed under: Triticum aestivum (bread wheat)
Lineage: Eukaryota; Viridiplantae; Streptophyta; Magnoliopsida; Poales; Poaceae
Description: long non-coding RNA (TAES_LNC010208)
Source: RNAcentral